GAUGAAGAACGUAGCGAAAUGCGAUAAGUAGUGUGAAUUGCAGAAUUCAGUGAAUCAUCGAAUCUUUGAACGCACAUUGCGCCCUGUGGUAUUCCGCAGGGCAUGCCUGUUCGAGCGUCAUUUCAACCCUCAAGCUCUGCUUGGUGUUGGGCCCUGCCCGCUGCGGCCGGCCCUAAAGACAGUGGCGGUGCCGCCUGGCCCUGAGCGUAGUACAUCUCUCGCUCCAGUGCCCGGUGGUAGCCUGCCAGAACCCCAACUCUCGUGGUUGACCUCGGAUCAGGUAGGGAUACCCGCUGAACUUAAGCAUAUCAAUAAGCGGAGGA
RNAcentral lists this unclassified non-coding RNA (323 nucleotides) under soil metagenome. RNAcentral describes it as "partial contains 5.8S ribosomal RNA, internal transcribed spacer 2, and large subunit ribosomal RNA". The stretch from base 1 to 120 matches the Rfam family "5.8S ribosomal RNA", at positions 35 to 154 of the family's 154-position model. The record is from RNAcentral.